Long non-coding RNA from Ananas comosus (pineapple), 746 nucleotides. RefSeq lists it as uncharacterized. NCBI's taxonomy places the organism in Eukaryota, Viridiplantae, Streptophyta, Magnoliopsida, Poales, Bromeliaceae. The record is from RefSeq and is a predicted model, not a curated record. The transcript is spliced from 5 exons.
UUUGCAAAUUGCAGAGUUCGAGUGUGUAGAAUGAAGUGUGAAACUAUCCUACAUAUUCUAAAUGACUUGAGCAAGUUUUUGAAUAAGUUAGAGAGUGAUUGGAAUGUUAAAAGCAUGAAAGUGCGCUGAUCUGGCGAAAUCAGCAGUUUUCUUCUUGGUGUACCGGUACAGCCAUUAUGGUGUACCGGUACACAAUGGGAAAACGUGGCAGCAUGGGUAGUUUGGUAAUUUCACAUUCCUAUCCUUAUCUCCUUGACCCAGCUUGACCCCUGGGGCAUCUUGGAAGGUAGUAGAGCUCAGAGAAGGGUUUCCUCACCUUCUCCACCUUCUCUCUCUAGAAUUUUUUUCUCUAUCUACCUAAAAGUCGCCGUUUUGCGUCGUUUUCGCGCCGCGCUCGUUGCUCGCUGGUUCGGAGACUCAAAAGAAGUCUUUGGAACGUGGGAGGGAGGAUUCCUAUUGAUUUUUCUAUGAUCUUGAUCUCAGAGAAGCUGAGUUGCUGCUUUGUGGAAAGGUCUUCGAGCUUCGUUGAGCUGAACUUGUACUCUUAGAAGCUGGUUUGGAAGCUGCUCUAACCAAGGCGAGAGGAUAUUUGACCUUUGGACCACCUUCGUUUGGCAUUGGAGGGUCUUCCGGAAGCUGAACAUGAGGGCUGAGGCCUAGUGGAGCUGAAUUUCGGACUUUUGGGGACUGAUUUGGAGCCUAGUACUAGAGCCAUCUACAGGAGAGGCUAGGGAUCGUGGCAAGGG